GAUGAACGCUGGCGGCGUGCUUAACACAUGCAAGUCGAACGAUGAAGCCCAGCUUGCUGGGUGGAUUAGUGGCGAACGGGUGAGUAACACGUGAGCAACCUGCCCCUGACUCUGGGAUAAGCGCUGGAAACGGCGUCUAAUACUAGAUAUGUCCCGUCACCGCAUGGUGUGCGGGUGGAAAGAUUUUUCGGUUGGGGAUGGGCUCGCGGCCUAUCAGCUUGUUGGUGAGGUAAUGGCUCACCAAGGCGUCGACGGGUAGCCGGCCUGAGAGGGUGACCGGCCACACUGGGACUGAGACACGGCCCAGACUCCUACGGGAGGCAGCAGUGGGGAAUAUUGCACAAUGGGCGGAAGCCUGAUGCAGCAACGCCGCGUGAGGGAUGACGGCCUUCGGGUUGUAAACCUCUUUUAGCAGGGAAGAAGCGAAAGUGACGGUACCUGCAGAAAAAGCACCGGCUAACUACGUG
Molecule: ribosomal RNA, 467 nt
Filed under: uncultured bacterium
Lineage: Bacteria
Description: partial 16S ribosomal RNA
Rfam family: Bacterial small subunit ribosomal RNA
Source: RNAcentral